Molecule: ribosomal RNA, 393 nt
Filed under: uncultured bacterium
Lineage: Bacteria
Description: bacterial SSU rRNA
Rfam family: Bacterial small subunit ribosomal RNA
Source: RNAcentral
ACGAACGCUGGCGGCGUGCUUAACACAUGCAAGUGGAGCGACGAACCAGGCUUCGGCCUGGGGCAAAGCCGCGAACGGGUGAGUAACACGUGGGUAACCUGCCCCGACGACUGGGACAACCCGGGGAAACCCGGGCUAAUACCGGAUGUGCUCCCUGACCUUGGUCAGGUGAGUAAAGGAAGCUUCGGCCUCCGCAUCGGGAUGGGCCCGCGGCCCAUUAGCUUGUUGGUGAGGUAACGGCUCACCAAGGCCGCGAUGGGUAGCUGGUCUGAGAGGACGAUCAGCCACACUGGGACUGAGACACGGCCCAGACUCCUACGGGAGGCAGCAGUGGGGAAUCUUGCGCAAUGCGCGACAGCGUGACGCAGCAACGCCGCGUGGGGAAGAAGGCCU